This 117-nucleotide ribosomal RNA is filed under the name Cordylochernes scorpioides. The record is from RNAcentral. Lineage: Eukaryota; Metazoa; Arthropoda; Arachnida; Pseudoscorpiones; Chernetidae.
AAGGUCAUACACCACAUUGAAAACACCGGUUCUCGUCCGAUCACCAAAGUUAAGCAAAUGUCGGGCCUGGUCAGUAUUUGGGAGGGUGACCACUUGGGAACACCUGAUGCUGUAGGA